This 207-nucleotide ribosomal RNA is filed under the name uncultured bacterium. RNAcentral describes it as "partial 16S ribosomal RNA". It matches the Rfam family "Bacterial small subunit ribosomal RNA", at positions 568 to 774 of the family's 1533-position model. The record is from RNAcentral.
UGCGUAGGCGGUUUACUAAGUCAGAUGUGAAAGCCCCGGGCUUAACCUGGGAACUGCAUUUGAUACUGGUAGGCUAGAGUAUGAUAGAGGGGGGUAGAAUUCCUGGUGUAGCGGUGAAAUGCGUAGAUAUCAGGAGGAAUACCGGUGGCGAAGGCGGCCCCCUGGAUCAAUACUGACGCUGAGGUACGAAAGCGUGGGUAGCGAACA